UACUUGCCCGCGCUAGGGAUUGUAGCGGCAUCCUUUUUUUGCUGCCAUAAAUGGCAAAAAAAGAUAUAGUGUAAAGCCCGACCCUUU
RNAcentral lists this small RNA (87 nucleotides) under Algibacter pectinivorans. RNAcentral describes it as "Pontirhabdus pectinovorans Flavo-1 RNA". It matches the Rfam family "Flavo-1 RNA". Lineage: Bacteria; Pseudomonadati; Bacteroidota; Flavobacteriia; Flavobacteriales; Flavobacteriaceae. The record is from Rfam by way of RNAcentral.